CAGCAGCCGCGGUAAUACGUAGGGUGCGAGCGUUAAUCGGAAUUACUGGGCGUAAAGCGUGCGCAGGCGGUUCGUUAAGACAGAUGUGAAAUCCCCGGGCUUAACCCGGGAACUGCGUUUGUGACUGGCGAGCUAGAGUAUGGCAGAGGGGGGUAGAAUUCCACGUGUAGCAGUGAAAUGCGUAGAGAUGUGGAGGAAUACCGAUGGCGAAGGCAGCCCCCUGGGCCAAUACUGACGCUCAUGCACGAAAGCGUGGGGAGCAAACAGGAUUAGAUACCCCUGUAGUCCCUGUCUCUUAUAA
Molecule: ribosomal RNA, 301 nt
Filed under: uncultured bacterium
Lineage: Bacteria
Description: partial 16S ribosomal RNA
Rfam family: Bacterial small subunit ribosomal RNA
Source: RNAcentral